This is a long non-coding RNA of Actinia tenebrosa (Australian red waratah sea anemone), 866 nucleotides long. RefSeq lists it as uncharacterized. The record is from RefSeq and is a predicted model, not a curated record. Lineage: Eukaryota; Metazoa; Cnidaria; Anthozoa; Actiniaria; Actiniidae.
GAUCAUAAAUAAUUCAGAGCUCUUUUCUAGGAAGGGCAAGAAGCAAGAUGAGUUUCAAGGGUUGGCAAAAUGGCGGCUUCCGAUCAAAUUUCAUCUUCAUUGAACUGUCUUCAAAAAAAUCUCUGGCCUUUUGUCAACAAAUAAAUCCUUGAAUCAUCAACAGAAAGCCUUGCUAGUUCACAAACCCGCAUUCAUGAUACUYAUUUCAAAGUUUAAGAGGCAAUUGAUCGAUUUUUAGAGGAAAUUGCCAUUGAAGAUUGAAUAUUCUUUAGGAAAUCUAGCCGAUGAAGAUGAGAUGGCUAAUUUACAACAAGAAACUGACUAGUGUUCUGGGAAGGAAGGCGCCGCAAUGCCGUUGAUGAAUUUUUGUAUAAAUAAUAAUUAACCCUUUUUUCCACAGACAUAGCGGAGGUUUUCUUUUAUCAUUGAAUAAGAGCGAACUUUUAGUCGUUGUUUACUAAAAAGGAGAGAAACUUGAUUGAUAAAUUAAGUUCUAAAAACACCUCGAGGUGAGAAACUAAUUGCCAAAGGCGCCAUCACCGGUGACACCGCUCGUUGUUCACAGAUUCCAAACUUGUACACAACCAUCUUUGUACAAUAUUACGAAUGGUAAUUACAAUACAAUCGCAAGGAAAACUAAAAAAAAUAUUCAACAAUUAAUGUCCUCGUAUGAUUGUAAGUGUAAGUCACAUGGUGACUUUAUCAGGCACUCUCGUCGUUUGGGAAACCUUUUGUUUUAACAACAUUAUCACUUUAUUGUACUUCAGGUUAAAGUACGUAGAUUGUUCAAACAUCGUGAACUAAUUGUACUAAACUAUGAAUCGAGGCUAGGUAGUGGUCGAAGUGAUUAAAUAAUGGUGUAACCA